GAUGAACGCUGGCGGCGUGCCUAAUACAUGCAAGUCGAGCGAACGGACGAGAAGCUUGCUUCUCUGAUGUUAGCGGCGGACGGGUGAGUAACACGUGGAUAACCUACCUAUAAGACUGGGAUAACUUCGGGAAACCGGAGCUAAUACCGGAUAAUAUUUUGAACCGCAUGGUUCAAAAGUGAAAGACGGUCUUGCUGUCACUUAUAGAUGGAUCCGCGCUGCAUUAGCUAGUUGGUAAGGUAACGGCUUACCAAGGCAACGAUGCAUAGCCGACCUGAGAGGGUGAUCGGCACCACUGGAACUGAGAAACGGUCCAGACUCCUACGGGAGGCAGCAGUAGGGAAUCUUCCGCAAUGGGCGAAAGCCUGACGGAGCAACGCCGCGUGAGUGAUGAAGGUCUUCGGAUCGUAAAACUCUGUUAUUAGGGAAGAACAUAUGUGUAAGUAACUGUGCACAUCUUGACGGUACCUAAUCAGAAAGCCACGGCUAACUACGUG
This 497-nucleotide ribosomal RNA is filed under the name uncultured bacterium. RNAcentral's name for it is "partial 16S ribosomal RNA". It matches the Rfam family "Bacterial small subunit ribosomal RNA", at positions 28 to 507 of the family's 1533-position model. The record is from RNAcentral.